GACGAACGCUGGCGGCGUGCCUAAUACAUGCAAGUCGAACGAGAGCGACCGGUGCUUGCACUGGUCAAUCUAGUGGCGAACGGGUGAGUAACACGUGGGUAACCUGCCCAUCAGAGGGGGAUAACAUUCGGAAACGGAUGCUAAAACCGCAUAGGUCUUCGAACCGCAUGGUUUGAAGAUGAAAAGAGGCGCAAGCUUCUGCUGAUGGAUGGACCCGCGGUGCAUUAGCAAGUUUGUGAGGUAACGGCUCACCAAGGCCGUGAUGCAUAGCCGCCCUGAGAGGGUGAUCGGCCACAUUGGGACUGAGACACGGCCCACACUCCUACGGGAGGCAGCAGUAGGGAAUCUUCCGCAAUGGACGCAAGUCUGACGGAGCAACGCCGCGUGAGUGAAGAAGGUUUUCGGAUCGUAAAACUCUGUUGUUAGAGAAGAAUAAGUGCUAGAGUAACUGUUAGCGCCUUGACGGUAUCUAACCAGAAAGCCACGGCUAACUACGUG
This 498-nucleotide ribosomal RNA is filed under the name uncultured bacterium. Its description in RNAcentral is "partial 16S ribosomal RNA". It matches the Rfam family "Bacterial small subunit ribosomal RNA", at positions 28 to 507 of the family's 1533-position model. The record is from RNAcentral.